Molecule: small RNA, 841 nt
Filed under: Pan troglodytes (chimpanzee)
Lineage: Eukaryota; Metazoa; Chordata; Mammalia; Primates; Hominidae
Description: processed transcript
Source: RNAcentral
AGAAAUCAUGUGCAAAUUGGAAAGCAUUAAAGAGAUCAGAUAUAAGGUCUCACUAUGUUGCCCAUGCUGGUUUCAAACUCCUGGGCUCAAGUGAUCCUCCUGCCUCUGUCUUCCAAAUUGCUGAGAUUACUGGCAUGAGCCAUUGCACCUGGCCUUCUUUUUUGAGAUGGCCUCAGGUUGGCUCUGCCUGGAGAGGGGGAAGCUUGUAAAGAUGGCUUAGAAAAAAAGUCCUGGCUCCAUUUCUAUUUUCUCCCUUCUUUUGCUGGCCUGUUUCCUGCUUUUUGCAAAUUGCAGGAACAAGACCCUGCAGAUGGAGAAGAUCAAGGCUCGUUUGAAGGCUGAGUUUGAGGCACUUGAGUCAGAGGAAAGGCACCUGAAGGAAUACAAGCAGGAGAUGGACCUUCUGCUACAGGAGAAGAUGGCCCAUGUGGAGGAACUCCGACUGAUCCACGCUGACAUCAAUGUGAUGGAAAACACUAUCAAACAAUCUGAGAAUGACCUAAACAAGCUGCUAGAGUCUACAAGGAGGCUGCAUGAUGAGUAUAAGCCACUGAAAGAACAUGUGGAUGCCCUGCGCAUGACUCUGGGCCUGCAGAGGCUCCCUGACUUGUGUGAAGAAGAGGAGAAGCUUUCCUUGGAUUACUUUGAGAAGCAGAAAGCAGAAUGGCAGACGGAACCUCAGGAGCCCCCCAUCCCUGAGUCCCUGGCCGCUGCAGCCGCUGCCGCCCAACAGCUCCAAGUGGCUAGGAAGCAGGACACUCGGCAGACGGCCACCUUCAGGCAGCAGCCCCCACCUAUGAAGGCCUGCUUGUCAUGUCACCAGCAAAUUCACCGGAAUGCA